GAUGAACGCUGGCGGCGUGCUUAACACAUGCAAGUCGAACGAGAAGUGAAGACGGAAACCUUCGGGCGGAAGGCUUUAUUUCGAGUGGCGGACGGGUGAGUAACGCGUGGGUAACCUGCCUCAUACAGGGGGAUAACAGUUGGAAACGACUGUUCAUACCGCAUAAGACCACAGCACCGCAUGGUGCGGGGGUAAAAACUCCGGUGGUAUGAGAUGGACCCGCGUUCGAUUAGCCAGUUGGCGGGGUAACGGCCCACCAAAGCGACGAUCGAUAGCCGAUCUGAGAGGAUGACCGGCCACAUUGGGACUGAGACACGGCCCAAACUCCUACGGGAGGCAGCAGUGGGGAAUAUUGCACAAUGGGGGAAACCCUGAUGCAGCGACGCCGCGUGAGUGAAGAAGUAUUUCGGUAUGUAAAGCUCUAUCAGCAGGGAAGAAAAUGACGGUACCUUAGUAAGAAGCCCCGGCUAACUACGUG
This 478-nucleotide ribosomal RNA is filed under the name uncultured bacterium. Its description in RNAcentral is "partial 16S ribosomal RNA". It matches the Rfam family "Bacterial small subunit ribosomal RNA", at positions 28 to 507 of the family's 1533-position model. The record is from RNAcentral.